UUAUGAAGUAGAGGUAUCCAUUAACUCAAUCUCUUCCACAGCAGUGAUGUACUGUUACAGUAUUUCAUAGAUAAAAGGCAUCCUCAGUAGGGAAGUAAGCAGUGUUUAAUGUGCAGAAAUACAUCAUUAAGACUGGCUUGUUUGGCAUAUCUUCAGAGUCUCUUAAUAGGGAUAUGCUAAAUUUGAAUUUGUGAUAUUUUGAACAGGUUUUAUUUGUGGGGACAUUAUGCAGUGAUGAAAGAAAAUCUUUAUCAGCCCUGUGGUGUUUCUGCCAACGAUGCUUCUUCCUCAUAGUGCCUAACAGAGGGAGAAAAUACUGGCUGUGUUCCACAAAGACAUGAGUCCCAUGUGAAUUCUUCCCCAAGUCCGUUGGAGUCCUUCAAAAGCUGCAAGGCUGUCUUUCUGGUGGACGAACAUUUCAUGGGUCUCAGAACACUGCAGGCCCUCUAAGGCUCCAGAGGUGAACUUAACAGUUUUGCAAGUGUGCAGGUUUUAUUGUGCGUGUGUGGCAAACUCGUGCAUUUUGUAGUGUGAGCAGUGGAAAAUGAAAAGAAGGAAAAAAAGAUAUCCAGGAACACAGAUCAAUGUAAGCACUGAAAUCCUGUAUUACUUCGUUCUGCUGUGUAUUGUUGGUUAAUUUCAGCUGAAGGUCAAUAGUCCUCCUGUAAAGCUACUUUCCCUUGACAUUGAUUGCCUUUGUCUGGAGGGAAAUCAAUACUUUUGUCAUUUAGCAAAAUGAGAGUUUCAGAUUCCCGUGAAACUCUAUCAGUGUCGACACGUCCCAUCAGGGGGUUCAUCAAAAAUACGAUAAAGCAACUCAAUGCAUCACCAGGGAUUUUACCUUCUCGGGUAACUUGUGAUUUUUCUCAUUUGCAUUCUAAUACCAAGGUGGCUUUUUAUUACAGCUGCCACAGGGUAUUAGAGAAUAAAGCUCUCAGAGAAAGAAGCCAUUGUACGGCAUGAUCAAGAAUCAUAAUUCAAAUGUAAAUAAUUAAAAGAUGUCAAGGAUAGGGUAUGACUUUUUAUUAUUAUGCUUUAUAAUCUUGGAUGAUCAAAAUAUAACUUUAAAAGCAAAAUUCGUUACGAUUGCAUCAAUGGUUGGUCGGAGCACCUAGAAAUAUUUUGACUUUGAACCUAUUUAAAAAAAAGUUCUAAUAGGACAAUGGUUCUCUUUGGCUUUAAUGCAAAAUGCAAAGAGUUGCAAAGUACAAACAGGAAAAACAAACAAUACAGUCCUUUAUUAACAAAUGAGGAAAAAAAACAGGUUCCUAAGACUGUUACUGAUCUUCUUCUCUUUGAUGCCUGUUUUUAGAUUUUAGACAAGAGAGGCACUCACCUACUGUAAGUGCAGUUUGAAUUCUACUGAGUCUGGGUUCGAGCUUGUGUUAUGUCAUUAGCUGGCUGUGACUAGGAUUCCCCUAGCAGUGGAGAACAUUAAGCUCAGUGGUUGCAGGAUGUGCAGGUCUCUGACACAACUGGUCAUACCACAUUAGGUGUGUACAAC
This is a long non-coding RNA of Lepisosteus oculatus (spotted gar), 1504 nucleotides long. RefSeq lists it as uncharacterized. The record is from RefSeq and is a predicted model, not a curated record. Lineage: Eukaryota; Metazoa; Chordata; Actinopteri; Semionotiformes; Lepisosteidae.